Molecule: ribosomal RNA, 116 nt
Organism: Cricetulus griseus (Chinese hamster)
Lineage: Eukaryota; Metazoa; Chordata; Mammalia; Rodentia; Cricetidae
Source: Ensembl
UACCACUACCACAUCAUCCUGAUCAUGCCCAGUCUCAUCUGAUCUUAGAAGGUAAGUAGGUUCAAGUCUGAUUAGUAUUUGGAUGAAAGUGUGUUCUGAUCAAUUAAUUGUGAUUA